Pistacia vera is the source of this 286-nucleotide long non-coding RNA. RefSeq lists it as uncharacterized. Lineage: Eukaryota; Viridiplantae; Streptophyta; Magnoliopsida; Sapindales; Anacardiaceae. The transcript has 4 exons. The record is from RefSeq and is a predicted model, not a curated record.
GCAUUAUUGAAGGGGAUGUAUUCAAGUGACUAAAAGGACCAAUUCCAGCUGCGGUUUUCAAUCUAGGAAAUCUGAAGGAUCUGAGGAUCUCUGAUAUGCCUGGACCAGACUUCAAAUUUCCAAAUCUGAGCAACAUCAACAACAUGGAUAACUUGGUUUUGAGAAACUUGAAUAUGUCUGGCUCUAUCCUGACGGGCAUUUGGAACUGACAACACAAUAGAUCUGUCCUUUAACAAGUUGGGGGAGAAAUUAAUGGCAACAUUCCAGCUCCAAGCGCAGAUUUCAC